This is an RNA transcript of Fragaria vesca subsp. vesca, 1423 nucleotides long. RefSeq lists it as uncharacterized. The transcript has 3 exons. The record is from RefSeq and is a predicted model, not a curated record. Lineage: Eukaryota; Viridiplantae; Streptophyta; Magnoliopsida; Rosales; Rosaceae.
AUCACAAUCUUUUCCCAAUUUCUUUACUUCUUCAGAGCCCCACCGCACAAUCUCUCUCUCUCUGAUUUACUUCUUCAGGUUUGAUCUAUCCGAAUUUGCGCGAUUGGAAAUGGGGCAAUGGAAGGUGCUGACUUGGUUUAAGAAGGAGAUGGUUUUACCUUGAAUCCGAUUUUCCUUUCAGGUGAAGACAGAUCUAUUUGAAAAUGAGAUGGUUUUACCUUGAAUAACUCGGUGCCGAGAUCAGAGCUCGUCCUUCAUCGAUUCUAGAUCUCCAGGUUUUGUGCUUUUUGUCUUCAAUUUUCUGUAGUAGUAAUGUGAUCCGUGCUAUUUUCCUUAACGGUGCCUAAUAUGAGCUUGACGUCUCUAUCUUUGGGUUAUGGUUAGCUUCUUUCCCAUCCUUAAGGUUAACCCAGUUUGGUAAAGUGAUCUCUUUAAUGGGCGUUGCAUCCUGAAAAUGAGCCUUACUUCCAUUCCCUUCUUGACGAAAUUGUAGCUUUUCUUUCUAGUAACAAUUAGUCUUGGCUUUUAUGCUGAUAUUGAGCGACUUAUUGAACUAUUAGAUUAGAAAUGACAUUGUGUUGAUUCAGUUUGUUAUCCUUCCUUUCUUAUUUAAUUUUUGUAACAUGAUUUCAGGUGGUAGAGCUAUUAGAAACACAUUUGAGUUUGGAAGAACCUAUGUAAUCCGACCUAAAGGUAAACACCAGGCCUUCGUAGUUUGGCUACAUGGCCUUGUUGAUAAUGGCUCAAGGUGGUUCUUGUCCCCAUUGCUUCUAUAAACUAUUUCUGAGAAAGUCGACAACAUUGAAUUCACAUUCAAUUACUAUUAUUUUUUUUUUUUUUUUUUUUUUCAGUUCAUACUAGAUUCAUCUAUUUUUGUACCUUUUUUUUAUGCAAUUCAUAGUUGUAUUUUAAUUCUAAGCUCUGCUAUUUUUUUUUUUUGAAGACUCUCAGCUCUUGGAAAUACAAAUGUGAGUUUGAAUACUUCUACUCUGGCUAUUAGAAGUAGAAUAUUCUCAUUGUCAGCCAUACUUAUAAUAUUGUGGUUCAUUGUCGCCACUCAUAAGAAAAUAUUCAUUGAAGAGAAUUUUUGUUCUCAUAGUCAGCCAUACUUAAUAUUUGUGAUUCAUUACCGUAGACAACCCCCAACACAAAAAGAAAAUUUCUAAUCAAGUGAAGUCAUCACAGCUUCACUAGUUUCCUGGAUUGCUUAUCUGAUAUAACACAGUGUUUGACGUUGGAGAACUAUGGAAGAUGUACUUGAUGUAGUGGAGGGAUUGGAUGCUUCAGCAACACAUGCAUGUAGAACUUUUGUUGUCAACAGAGUUUGACGACAGUAGGUAUCCUCUUGCUAAAAUUUAGAAUAUUGUUGUAUUAGAUAUCAUUUCUAGCCUGUUUGAGUUUUUAUGUUGUGAACAUAUAGAAA